This 1434-nucleotide ribosomal RNA is filed under the name Mammaliicoccus sciuri. Its description in RNAcentral is "bacterial SSU rRNA". It matches the Rfam family "Bacterial small subunit ribosomal RNA". The record is from RNAcentral. Lineage: Bacteria; Bacillati; Bacillota; Bacilli; Caryophanales; Staphylococcaceae.
CUAAUACAUGCAAGUCGAGCGAACAGAUGAGAAGCUUGCUUCUCUGAUGUUAGCGGCGGACGGGUGAGUAACACGUGGGUAACCUACCUAUAAGACUGGGAUAACUCCGGGAAACCGGGGCUAAUACCGGAUAAUAUUUUGAACCGCAUGGUUCAAUAGUGAAAGACGGUUUCGGCUGUCACUUAUAGAUGGACCCGCGCCGUAUUAGCUAGUUGGUAAGGUAACGGCUUACCAAGGCGACGAUACGUAGCCGACCUGAGAGGGUGAUCGGCCACACUGGAACUGAGACACGGUCCAGACUCCUACGGGAGGCAGCAGUAGGGAAUCUUCCGCAAUGGGCGAAAGCCUGACGGAGCAACGCCGCGUGAGUGAUGAAGGUCUUCGGAUCGUAAAACUCUGUUGUUAGGGAAGAACAAAUUUGUUAGUAACUGAACAAGUCUUGACGGUACCUAACCAGAAAGCCACGGCUAACUACGUGCCAGCAGCCGCGGUAAUACGUAGGUGGCAAGCGUUAUCCGGAAUUAUUGGGCGUAAAGCGCGCGUAGGCGGUUUCUUAAGUCUGAUGUGAAAGCCCACGGCUCAACCGUGGAGGGUCAUUGGAAACUGGGAAACUUGAGUGCAGAAGAGGAGAGUGGAAUUCCAUGUGUAGCGGUGAAAUGCGCAGAGAUAUGGAGGAACACCAGUGGCGAAGGCGGCUCUCUGGUCUGUAACUGACGCUGAUGUGCGAAAGCGUGGGGAUCAAACAGGAUUAGAUACCCUGGUAGUCCACGCCGUAAACGAUGAGUGCUAAGUGUUAGGGGGUUUCCGCCCCUUAGUGCUGCAGCUAACGCAUUAAGCACUCCGCCUGGGGAGUACGACCGCAAGGUUGAAACUCAAAGGAAUUGACGGGGACCCGCACAAGCGGUGGAGCAUGUGGUUUAAUUCGAAGCAACGCGAAGAACCUUACCAAAUCUUGACAUCCUUUGACCGCUCUAGAGAUAGAGUCUUCCCCUUCGGGGGACAAAGUGACAGGUGGUGCAUGGUUGUCGUCAGCUCGUGUCGUGAGAUGUUGGGUUAAGUCCCGCAACGAGCGCAACCCUUAAGCUUAGUUGCCAUCAUUAAGUUGGGCACUCUAGGUUGACUGCCGGUGACAAACCGGAGGAAGGUGGGGAUGACGUCAAAUCAUCAUGCCCCUUAUGAUUUGGGCUACACACGUGCUACAAUGGAUAAUACAAAGGGCAGCGAAUCCGCGAGGCCAAGCAAAUCCCAUAAAAUUAUUCUCAGUUCGGAUUGUAGUCUGCAACUCGACUACAUGAAGCUGGAAUCGCUAGUAAUCGUAGAUCAGCAUGCUACGGUGAAUACGUUCCCGGGUCUUGUACACACCGCCCGUCACACCACGAGAGUUUGUAACACCCGAAGCCGGUGGAGUAACCUUUUAGGAGCUAGCCGUCGAAG